UACGUAGGUGGCAAGCGUUGUCCGGAUUUAUUGGGUUUAAAGGGUGCGUAGGCGGCUCUGUAAGUCAGUUGUGAAAUACUUCAGCUUAACUGGAGAGGUGUAAUUGAUACUGUGGAGCUUGAGUACUGAUGAGGUAGGCGGAAUGGACGGUGUAGCGGUGAAAUGCUUAGAUAUCGUCCAGAACACCGAUAGCGAAGGCAGCUUACUAAGGAGUAACUGACGCUGAGGCACGAAAGUGUGGGGAUCAAACAGG
This 253-nucleotide ribosomal RNA is filed under the name uncultured bacterium. RNAcentral's name for it is "partial 16S ribosomal RNA". It matches the Rfam family "Bacterial small subunit ribosomal RNA", at positions 524 to 776 of the family's 1533-position model. The record is from RNAcentral.